CCUUUCUUCCUCUCUUGUGUCUGUGCAGAGGUAACUAGCUGGGUACCAAGACUCAUGCUUCCUCCCCCCCUGUGUGGAGUUGUCGCCCAACCAGGCCCCGUCAGAGUCUACCGGGAGUCCUUGUGACAAGUUUGGGCCAGUGGAGUGGAGAGAGUCAUUUGUGUCACUUCUGGGCUAAGGAGCUUCCCUUGGGGUCUCUCUGCUGGCCAUCUGCCCACAUUGUUUUUAUAUUCUUCAGAAUAAGUAGAGCUGAGCACCUCUUCAUCCAUUUGGAGAACACAGCGCUCAUCAUCUAUCUUCUCUGCCUGGCCAGCGUUGCUCUUCUAUCCAAGACUGAAAUGGGUCCUUUUGGACAAGUGUCACCUGGAUCUGUUCAGGCACUGCUCUUUAGUGACCGUGCCAAGGUAACAUGCCCCAGUUCUGUUUAAAAAGCGUGGGA
Molecule: long non-coding RNA, 439 nt
Filed under: Ictidomys tridecemlineatus (thirteen-lined ground squirrel)
Lineage: Eukaryota; Metazoa; Chordata; Mammalia; Rodentia; Sciuridae
Description: lncRNA (ENSSTOG00000029415.1)
Source: RNAcentral